This 383-nucleotide ribosomal RNA is filed under the name uncultured eukaryote. RNAcentral describes it as "SSU rRNA". It matches the Rfam family "Eukaryotic small subunit ribosomal RNA", at positions 587 to 972 of the family's 1831-position model. The record is from RNAcentral.
AGCUCCAAUAGCGUAUAUUAAAGUUGUUGCAGUUAAAAAGCUCGUAGUUGGAUUUCUGGUGAGUUCGUUUGGCCGGCCGUAAAGGUCUGUGCCGAAAUGUUAUUCGCCAUCCUUGGUGUAAUCUUGUCCGCCAUUAAGUUGUGUGGGCUUGAGGAUGCCAUCGUUUACUGUGAAAAAAUUAGAGUGUUCAAAGCAGGCUUAUGCCGUUGAAUACAUUAGCAUGGAAUAAUAAGAUAGGACCCUGGUACUAUUUUGUUGGUUUGCGUACCUAGGUAAUGAUUAAUAGGGACAGUUGGGGGUAUUUGUAUUCCGUUGUCAGAGGUGAAAUUCUUGGAUUUACGGAAGACAAACUACUGCGAAAGCAUUUACCAAGGAUGUUUUCA